RNAcentral lists this ribosomal RNA (253 nucleotides) under uncultured bacterium. RNAcentral's name for it is "partial 16S ribosomal RNA". It matches the Rfam family "Bacterial small subunit ribosomal RNA", at positions 524 to 776 of the family's 1533-position model. The record is from RNAcentral.
UACGAGGGGUGCAAGCGUUGCUCGGAAUUAUUGGGCGUAAAGGGUAGGUAGGUGGUCUCAUUUGUCUGGGGUGAAAGCCUUGAGCUUAACUCAAGAAGUGCCCCAGAAACGGUGAGACUGGAGUCCUGGAGAGGGUCGUGGAAUUCCCGGUGUAGCGGUGAAAUGCGUAGAGAUCGGGAGGAACACCAGCGGCGAAGGCGGCGACCUGGACAGGUACUGACACUCAACUACGAAAGCGUGGGGAGCAAACAGG